Molecule: ribosomal RNA, 482 nt
Filed under: uncultured bacterium
Lineage: Bacteria
Description: partial 16S ribosomal RNA
Rfam family: Bacterial small subunit ribosomal RNA
Source: RNAcentral
AUUGAACGCUGGCGGCAUGCUUUACACAUGCAAGUCGAACGGUAACAGGCCGCAAGGUGCUGACGAGUGGCGAACGGGUGAGUAAUGCAUCGGAACGUGCCCAGUCGUGGGGGAUAACUACUCGAAAGAGUAGCUAAUACCGCAUACGAUCUAUGGAUGAAAGCGGGGGACCGUAAGGCCUCGCGCGAUUGGAGCGGCCGAUGUCAGAUUAGGUAGUUGGUGGGGUAAAGGCUCACCAAGCCAACGAUCUGUAGCUGGUCUGAGAGGACGACCAGCCACACUGGGACUGAGACACGGCCCAGACUCCUACGGGAGGCAGCAGUGGGGAAUUUUGGACAAUGGGCGCAAGCCUGAUCCAGCAAUGCCGCGUGCAGGAAGAAUGCCUUCGGGUUGUAAACUGCUUUUGUGCGGAACGAAACGGCUCUGGUUAAUACCCGGGGCUAAUGACGGUACCGUAAGAAUAAGCACCGGCUAACUACGUG